GACGAACGCUGGCGGCGUGCUUAACACAUGCAAGUCGAACGAAGAGCGAUGGAAGCUUGCUUCUAUCACUCUUAGUGGCGAACGGGUGAGUAACGCGUAAUCAACCUGCCCUUCAGAGGGAGACAACAGUUGGAAACGACUGCUAAUACCGCAUACGAUCUAAUCUCGGCAUCGAGGAAAGAUGAAAGGUGGCCUCUAUUUAUAAGCUAUCACUGAAGGAGGGGAUUGCGUCUGAUUAGCUAGUUGGAGGGGUAACGGCCCACCAAGGCGAUGAUCAGUAGCCGGUCUGAGAGGAUGAACGGCCACAAUGGGACUGAGACACGGCCCAGACUCCUACGGGAGGCAGCAGUGGGGAAUCUUCCGCAAUGGACGAAAGUCUGACGGGGCAACGCCGCGUGAGUGAUGACGGCCUUCGGGUUGUAAAGCUCGGUUAAUCGGGACGAAAGGCCUUCUUGCGAACAGUUAGAAGGAUUGACGGUACCGGAAGAGAAAGCCACGGCUAACUACGUG
Molecule: ribosomal RNA, 510 nt
Filed under: uncultured bacterium
Lineage: Bacteria
Description: partial 16S ribosomal RNA
Rfam family: Bacterial small subunit ribosomal RNA
Source: RNAcentral